AUAGAUGCCCCAGGGGAUCUUGUUAAAAUGCAGAUUCUGAUUGAGUCCUCAUUUCUGGGAUGGGACCUGAGAUUUUUCACAUCUAACAAGUACCCAGAUGAUGCCAAU
This 108-nucleotide microRNA precursor is filed under the name Marmota monax (woodchuck). The record is from RNAcentral. Lineage: Eukaryota; Metazoa; Chordata; Mammalia; Rodentia; Sciuridae.